This 889-nucleotide ribosomal RNA is filed under the name Chloroflexi bacterium enrichment culture clone B4157. Its description in RNAcentral is "bacterial SSU rRNA". It matches the Rfam family "Bacterial small subunit ribosomal RNA", at positions 8 to 916 of the family's 1533-position model. The record is from RNAcentral. Lineage: Bacteria; Bacillati; Chloroflexota.
AGAGUUUGAUCAUGGCUCAGGAUGAACGUUGGCGGUGUGCCUAAUACAUGCAAGUCGAACGGAGUUAAUAGCAAUAUUGACCUAGUGGCGAACGGGUGAGUAACGCGUUGGUGAUCUGCCUCGAAGUGUGGAAUAACGUUCCGAAAGGAACGCUAAUACCGCAUGUGCUCUCGAUUUUUAGAAAGUUGAGAGUAAAGGAUUUAUUCGCUUCGAGAGGAGCCUGCGUCCCAUCAGCUGGUUGGUAGGGUAACGGCCUACCAAGGCUAUGACGGGUAGGGGACCUGAGAGGGUGGCCCCCCACAAUGGAACUGAAACACGGUCCAUACACCUACGGGUGGCAGCAGUAGGGAAUAUUAGAAAUGGACGAAAGUCUGAUCUAGCAACACCGCGUGUGCGAAGAAGGCCUUCGGGUCGUAAAGCACUUUUUGGAAGGAAUAGGAAGGAAUGUACUUCCAGAAUAAGUCUCGGCUAACUACGUGCCAGCAGCCGCGGUAACACGUAGGAGGCGAACGUUAUCCGGAUUUACUGGGCGUAAAGCGCGUGUAGGUGGUACUGUAAGUAGGGCGUGAAAGCUCCCGGCUCAACUGGGAGAGGCCGUUCUAAACUACAGAACUAGAGGAUGGUAGAGGGAGGUGGAAUUCCAGGUGUAGCGGUGGAAUGCGCAGAUAUCUGGAGGAACACCGGUGGCGAAGGCGGCCUCCUGGACCAUUCCUGACACUCAGACGCGAAAGCUAGGGUAGCAAACGGGAUUAGAGACCCCGGUAGUCCUAGCCCUAAACGAUGUAGACUAGGCGUCGGAAGUUUAAUCACUUUCGGUGUCCAAGCUAACGCGAUAAGUCUACCGCCUGGGGACUACGGCCGCAAGGUUAAAACUCAAAGGAAUUGACGG